Molecule: ribosomal RNA, 547 nt
Filed under: Microdochium tainanense
Lineage: Eukaryota; Fungi; Ascomycota; Sordariomycetes; Xylariales; Microdochiaceae
Description: eukaryotic LSU rRNA
Rfam family: 5.8S ribosomal RNA (bases 180-333)
Source: RNAcentral
GUCUCCGUAGGUGAACCUGCGGAGGGAUCAUUACUGAGUUUUCAACUCUCCAAACCAUGUGAACUUACCACUGUUGCCUCGGUGGUUAGUGCUCUCCUUCGGGGGAGUGCUGCCGCCGGUGGACUACUAAACUCUUGUUAAUUUUUGGCAUUCUGAAUCAUAACUAAGAAAUAAGUUAAAACUUUCAACAACGGAUCUCUUGGUUCUGGCAUCGAUGAAGAACGCAGCGAAAUGCGAUAAGUAAUGUGAAUUGCAGAAUUCAGUGAAUCAUCGAAUCUUUGAACGCACAUUGCGCCCAUUAGUAUUCUAGUGGGCAUGCCUGUUCGAGCGUCAUUUCAACCCUUAAGCCUAGCUUAGCGUUGGGAGACUGCACUAAACCGCAGCUCCUCAAAACCAGUGGCGGAGUCCUCUCGUGCUCUGAGCGUAGUAAUUCAUUAUCUCGCUUCUGUAAGUACAGUGGAUCACAGCCAUAAACCGCACCCUUCGGGGGCACUUUUUAAUGGUUGACCUCGGAUCAGGUAGGAAUACCCGCUGAACUUAAGCAUAU